GCUCCAAUGGUGAAAUUGGCAGACACGCCAGACUUAGGAUCUGGUGCCGCAAGGCGUGGGGGUUCAAGUCCCUCUUGGAGCACCA
RNAcentral lists this transfer RNA (85 nucleotides) under Oligoflexia bacterium. RNAcentral's name for it is "tRNA-Leu". It matches the Rfam family "tRNA". Rfam says of the family: Transfer RNA (tRNA) molecules are approximately 80 nucleotides in length. Lineage: Bacteria; Pseudomonadati; Bdellovibrionota; Oligoflexia. The record is from RNAcentral.